AAGAUGUAUAAAUGAAGAGACCCAAAACUCAACCUCUGCCUAGAGAAGGAUAUCCAAAUACUAAUGACAGUACUGCCUGCUGGAUAGUAAUUUCUACUUUAUUCCUUGGAGCAGUUGAAGCAGUAGGAUGCUGCAGAGAUGGAGACAUGGAAUCUUAUCUGGGUGGAAAUGGAAAAAGAAGAAAAGGAAGAAAAAGGACGAAGGAAAGGCUUUAAUAGAUAGCAAUGAUUAAAAAGUGAUGGCCUAGAAAGCAUGAACCACAAAGCCUUUUAUUCUCUCCCUUUUUACGUUUGGUUGGGAUUGAAAAGAAGUAGAAUAAUAGAUAGGGUGUGGAAGCUCAAUCUCUGAAGAGCUGAUAACAACAGGAUGUAUAAAGGAUAGUCAUUAGAAGAAACACACGAACUCAAGACAGCCUCAUAGAAACAUUAUGCGUUGAUUCAGGGACUCCCCCAAUACCCCAGUUCUCUUCAAAUUUCCCUCAAAAAGAUGGAAACUUGGAGGCAAAAGCAUCAUUUUUUGUCCCACUUCCUGUCUCAACAGUCAAAAACAAGAAACGCCCACCAUUCUCACCACCACAAACAUCCAAAAUCUGAUAUUUCCACUGUUGGUUUCAAGGUCUCUUUCAGCCUGUAAGCUUUAGCAUCUCCAGAUACCAUUCAAGGAAGAACAGGAACUGGGUCACUGAUGGCAGCCAAGUUUCAGUUUCUGAGUCUGCCAUUGCCACCGUUUGUGAAGAUGGAUAGUCUCCCUGAAUUCUCCUAUGGCAACAUGAAUGAAGAGUAUUGGAAACCUCAAUGAUAUCAUCACACUCUGUUAGAGAGACAAAGAAAAAUAUGAUUAUAAUUUAAAAUCAGAUACACACAUUUUGAAAACAAUAAUUAGUUUAAUGCAUAGGUAGUUGUUGGUUCUGGUCUUC
Molecule: long non-coding RNA, 916 nt
Organism: Cucurbita maxima (winter squash)
Lineage: Eukaryota; Viridiplantae; Streptophyta; Magnoliopsida; Cucurbitales; Cucurbitaceae
Exons: 2
Source: RefSeq, a predicted model, not a curated record